UGCUUAUCCAGAGAGGUGGAGGGACUGGCCCUAUGAAGCCCGGCAACCGGUUUAUACACGGUGCUAAUUCCAGCAGGGCAUGUGCUCUGCAGAGAUAAGGA
Molecule: non-coding RNA, 101 nt
Filed under: Bacillus sp. (in: firmicutes)
Lineage: Bacteria; Bacillati; Bacillota; Bacilli; Caryophanales; Bacillaceae
Also listed under: 1 other name
Description: Bacillus sp. SAM-I sequence
Rfam family: SAM riboswitch aptamer (S box leader)
About the family: The SAM riboswitch is found upstream of a number of genes which code for proteins involved in methionine or cysteine biosynthesis in Gram-positive bacteria. The SAM riboswitch acts at the level of transcription termination control.
Source: RNAcentral